Lolium perenne is the source of this 823-nucleotide long non-coding RNA. RefSeq lists it as uncharacterized. The record is from RefSeq and is a predicted model, not a curated record. Lineage: Eukaryota; Viridiplantae; Streptophyta; Magnoliopsida; Poales; Poaceae.
GCGUACAGGCAAAAUUAAUGCAUAAUACAGGCUUCUAGUAUAGGAAUACCCCUAUGAUACACAAUAAAUGGGCCGCUGGUGUCGUCAUGAGUACAGGCCAGGACAGGAUCUCCACGGCCCGAAUUAGUGAGACCUGACAGCUGUUGCCCAAUUGAUGUCGCUGCAGCAUUGCAGCUCCGCUCCCGGGUCUUCUUCAACCUCGCAUCAAAUCCUCAGAUACUGAGCAGAGGAUAAAGUACCCAGCCCAAAAUAUAUACAAUAUUCAGCAAUCAGUAAUGGAGAGGGGCAGAGGGCGCGGCCUGAUGGUCGUUUUCAUGUUUGUAGUUUCUGAGAGAGAGACAAUGGAUGAUUCAAGGUAGGGAUGGGGAUGGAGCUCGGAACAGGCCGGCACAGAAUUAAUUGCUGCACUUAACCCCCGUGGUGACGCCACGUUUGUGGGGCCCUAUUCCUCUGUACUCUAGGUGCGUUCAGCCGAAAUACAAUUUCGUGUACACAAACACAAAGUACCUACGCGGGAGUGUACAUGUAAUGGACGGCUCGGGAUAUACUCCAAAAUCUAAGGGGGGCACCGACAGCGCCAAAUUCAUUCAGCUCAUAAACAGAAGUACUUUUACCUCCAGCUCUGCAUAAGGUCAUGUUUAGGGGUCCUGCUGUAAAUGCUCUAAGAUGGAUCCAGUGCAUUUAAACCAACUUGUAUGGGCUCCCCCGGACAAUAAACUCGACCUUACCAUUGUAUCUUCUGGUAAUGGGUUUGCAUUGAUUUAUCCCAGAAACAAAUAGUCUGGGAUGGUCCAAAAUGUACACAGACAUGGCGUGGACAAAU